RNAcentral lists this ribosomal RNA (380 nucleotides) under uncultured eukaryote. RNAcentral describes it as "partial 18S ribosomal RNA". It matches the Rfam family "Eukaryotic small subunit ribosomal RNA", at positions 592 to 976 of the family's 1831-position model. The record is from RNAcentral.
CAAUAGCGUAUAUUAAAGUUGUUGCGGUUAAAAAGCUCGUAGUUGGAUUUCUGCUGAGAACGACCGGUCCGCCCUUUGGGUGUGUAUCUGGCUCUUUCUUGGCAUCUUCUUGGUGAACGUUGCUGCACUUGACUGUGUGGAGCGCUACCCAGGACUUUUACUUUGAGGAAAUUAGAGUGUUUCAAGCAGGCAUACGCCUUGAAUACAUUAGCAUGGAAUAAUAAGAUAGGACCUCGGUUCUAUUUUGUUGGUUUCUAGAGCUGAGGUAAUGAUUAAUAGGGAUAGUUGGGGGCAUUCGUAUUUAACUGUCAGAGGUGAAAUUCUUGGAUUUGUUAAAGACGGACUACCGCGAAAGCAUUUGCCAAGGAUGUUUUCAUUGG